RNAcentral lists this ribosomal RNA (437 nucleotides) under Gemmatimonadota bacterium. Its description in RNAcentral is "bacterial SSU rRNA". It matches the Rfam family "Bacterial small subunit ribosomal RNA", at positions 1 to 431 of the family's 1533-position model. The record is from RNAcentral. Lineage: Bacteria; Pseudomonadati; Gemmatimonadota.
UCAUUGGAGAGUUUGAUCCUGGCUCAGGACGAACGCUGGCGGCGUGCUUAACACAUGCAAGUCAAGGGGGCUCCGCAAGGAGCAACCGGCGAACGGGUGCGUAACACGUGAGCGACCGACCCUUACGGAUGGGGGAUAGCCAGCCCAACGGCUGGGUAAUACCGCAUACGCUUCUUCUGGGGCAUCCCGGGGGAAGGAAAGCGCUCGAGGCAACUCGAGGGCGUCCGAGGACGGGCUCGCGGCCUAUCAGCUAGUUGGUGGGGUGAUGGCUCACCAAGGCGACGACGGGUAGCUGGUCUGAGAGGAUGGCCAGCCACAUUGGGACUGAGAAACGGCCCAGACUCCUACGGGAGGCAGCAGUGGGGAAUCUUGCGCAAUGGCCGAAAGGCUGACGCAGCGACGCCGCGUGUGGGAGGACGCCCUUCGGGGUGUAAACC